Molecule: ribosomal RNA, 451 nt
Filed under: uncultured bacterium
Lineage: Bacteria
Description: bacterial SSU rRNA
Rfam family: Bacterial small subunit ribosomal RNA
Source: RNAcentral
GACGGCCUUCUGGGUUGUAAACUGCUUUUAUCUGGGGAUAAAAAGCCCAUGCGUGGGACAUUGAAGGUACCAGAUGAAUAAGCACCGGCUAACUACGUGCCAGCAGCCGCGGUAAUACGUAGGGUGCAAGCGUUGUCCGGAUUUAUUGGGUUUAAAGGGUGCGUAGGCGGCUUAUUAAGUCAGUGGUGAAAUCCAACAGCUCAACUGUUGAUGUGCCAAUGAUACUGAUGGACUUGAGUACAGACGAGGUAGGCGGAAUUGACAGUGUAGCGCUGAAAUGCAUAGAUAUUGUCAAGAACACCGAUAUUGAAGGCAGCUUGCUAGCCUGUAACUGACGCCGAAGCACGAAGGUAUGGGGUUCAAACGGGAUUUUAUACCCUGGUAGUUCAUACAGUAAACGAUGAUUACUCGAUGUUUGCGAUACACAGUCAGCGUCUUCAUCGAAAGCGAU